UCUAGGAAGUGAAGGCACGCUCAGGGAAAGACAUUCCCUCUCCUUAUGAAGCCUGUAAAUUAAAGAAGCAGGGCAGACAUCGUGUGAUGUCCUUAUUUUUUUCUAAAGAAGCUCACCUGGCAGGUACUUGGUUAUCAGUUCUCCAUGGCAGUGCUGCACCUUGGGAUAAUUUCGAAAGGAAUUACUCUGUGAGUUGGUUUUGGACAUUGAACCUAAAGACGUGUGAGGAUCUUGGUCAGAGAAGUUCCCACACCACUGAACAGGAAAUCUGGAAUUUCACAGCUCUUGGUGAAUCACAGUCGUUGGGCCUUCAUCUUCCAGAGGAAUGUGGGCUGGCUCUGAUCCUCCCCGAGUCUGCUCCGUUGGGAACAAGCACAGGGUCGUUUCCAUGGAAUACUCAGGAGCAGGGAUAAGAUGUUUUCUGGCUUCUUCACAUCUAAAUUAUCAGUGGAAGGCUUUGCUUGCCAUACACCUGGGUUUAGGUAUUUAUUCCUGUUUGUUUCCUUUUAGACAGGACAAUGCAAGUUCUCAAAAGGUGAAAAUACCAGUUCUGGCUCUGGAUAAAGGGGAAAAGGGUCUGGUUUGGGGAGUAUCCUUGCAACAAACCAACUUUAC
This 615-nucleotide long non-coding RNA is filed under the name Manacus vitellinus (golden-collared manakin). RNAcentral describes it as "lncRNA (ENSMVIG00005019395.1)". Lineage: Eukaryota; Metazoa; Chordata; Aves; Passeriformes; Pipridae. The record is from RNAcentral.